GAAACACCCUUAUGGAGCAGGACUUGCUUCAGUGGGGCUUUGGUGCUCACUGAGUCUUCUCCCUGAGUGUGUCUCU
Molecule: non-coding RNA, 76 nt
Organism: Myotis lucifugus (little brown bat)
Lineage: Eukaryota; Metazoa; Chordata; Mammalia; Chiroptera; Vespertilionidae
Source: Rfam